Molecule: non-coding RNA, 4376 nt
Organism: Salmo salar (Atlantic salmon)
Lineage: Eukaryota; Metazoa; Chordata; Actinopteri; Salmoniformes; Salmonidae
Source: RefSeq, a predicted model, not a curated record
UGUGACGUCACAGGGGCUAAGAGGACGUGGCACCGGGAACAUUAGUAGCUACUCCUCAAGCAGCACGCUCUUUACCGGGCAGGACCAAGCUAUUCGAAACGACUUUCUUUCCCUCAGGGUCUGUACGAUCGAGAUAAUGGCGUCAAAUAACAGUCAGGUUGGAAAGUGGGAAGUCGUGAAAAAAAGCAAGAAACCGGGCACCGCCGGCAGCGGAGGGAAAAAUCCCGGAGAGAAGAAAGCUGGACGGAAAGCUCUGAGCGAAUCCAACAUGACGAGGAUCGACCAGCUUCCUCCCCUGGUGACAUCGGGGACUUUGUUCGAGGCUUUUGAGAAGAUGGGGAAGAAGCAUAACAAGGAGCAGGUUCCCCCAGCCGAGCCCAGCAACAAGAAGCCUUCGGCGGGCAAACAGAAGACCAAGCUACCCCCUGCCUCCACACAGACACACAACGCACACAAGAACCUGGAGGAUGCAUUCAAAGCAUUGGACGUGGGAGAGCUGAAGCAGCAGCUGGACCGGAGCCAGUCUCUGUUUCCUGACAACCCGUCAGUCUGGGUCAAAGACCUGGCAGGAUACCUCAACCACGCCCUGGCUGCUCCCGAGAUGGAACCCACCCUCAGCAGCUACACACACGAUUACCCAUACUGCCUUGCGGGGAAGGAGCUGAGGGGCGUGGUCAAAGCUUUGAUUGGUCGCUGCAACGAGAGUCUACAGGACUUCUACGACCACUGUGUUUACACCAUGCUGAGAGAACUGGACAAACGGACAGGUGAGAGAAACGGACAGGUGGGAGAACUGGACAAACGGACAGGAGAACCUCUCCAUGGUUACCGGGUCUGUAUCCAGGCCAUCCUACAAGACAAGCCCAGAAUGGCGACACAAAACCUUCCUAACUAUCUGGAGUUGUUGCGGUCAGUUCAGAACCGUCCGGUCAAGUGUCUGACAAUCAUGUGGUCUCUGGGACAGGCUGGCUACUACGACCUCAGCCAGGGGCUACGAGUAUGGCUGGGUAUCAUGCUGCCAGUCCUGGGGGUGAAGGCCCUGUCCUCCUACGCCAUCGCAUACCUGGAGAGACUACUGCUGCUCCAUGUUAACCUGACUAAAGGUUUUGGGGUCAUGGGACCUAAAGACUUCUUCCCACUGCUGGACUUCGCCUACAUGCCGAAGAAUGCCCUGUCACCAAGCCUCCAGGAGCAGCUGUGUCGUCUGUACCCUCGUCUGAAGGUGUUGGCGUUUGGGGCGAAGCCCGAAAUGACCCUCCACACUUACCUUCCCUCCUUCCUGUCCCGGGCCACGCCCCACUGCCCUGAUGAUAUGAAGAGAGAGUUGCUCAGCUCCAUGACGGAGUGUCUGUCUGUGGACCAUCAGAGUCUGGGUGUCUGGAGACAGCUAUACACCAAACACUUACCACAGUCCAGCCUGCUGUUAAACCAUCUACUGAAGUCCUGGAACACUCUGCCACCCAAGUUGCGCGGUUGGCUGCAGGAGACGGUCCAGUCAUUCAGAGUGACCAAUGAGGAGCUGAGAGGCACCGCUAACUCCACUGAUCUCCAGGACUGUAACAAGCUCUGUCACUGUCUCCAGGUGAAGAUGUCAGGUCGAGGUUUCCCCUGGUCCAGACUCUUCAUGGCUUUAUUGGUGUUUGCUGCUGGGUUUAUUACACACGACAUCCGGUCACGUGGCUCCUUCACAGACUCCUCCACAGCAAGCUAUCUCCACAGUUCAGGGGUGAUGGGCGUGUCUCAACAGGCCUGGAGCAAAGUCACCCUCUACUCACAGCAGGGCUUCAGCUGGCUGGAUACCAACACUCCCUACUACUACUCAGAGUGUGUCCGCGUGUUGAGUCCGGUACUGGAGAACAACUGGGAGAGAAUUAAAAACGCUGCGGUCUACAUCUCGCAGCUCGCAACACAACUCAUCGACUGGACCAAUCACAACACACCCCUACUAGUAGAAUGGCUGAGUUCCAGCACUCCGGACUGUGUGUUCCUGCUGAUAGACUAUCUGAAGCAGCUGUUACUCUUCCUCCAUACCAACUACCUGCUGCCAGCCUUCACACACGCCUCCCAUCUAACAGUACAGGCCUGGACGGCACUGCAGGACUCCUGCAGUGGGGAGGUGUCUGCAUCAUGCCUCCAGACCUACGCCCUCUCUCUGACCAACUCUACCUGGCACCUGCUACAAGACACCACCAACGCCAUCAAGACCUGGAUACAAGACCUGCUCCACACCUGAUACACACACACACAUACUGAUACACACACACACAUACUGACACACACACACACACAGAUCCACACAUACUUUAUGCACAUACACGCUUUAAACACAGUCUGAGACUCUUUGCUUGUGUUGCUUUGACCUCCUCCCUCCUCAAUCUCGCUCUCACUCUGACUCUCUCAUGGGCUUUAUUGGCAUGGGACAUGUGUUUACAUUACCAAGGGAUAUAAACAACAGUCCGUCACUAGCUAGGUGAUAUAAACAACGGUCUGUCGCUAGCUAGGUGAUAUAAACAGUCCGUCACUAGCUAGGUGAUAUAAACAACAGUCUGUCGCUAGCUAGGUGAUAUAAACAACAGUCUGUCACUAGCUAGGUGAUAUAAACAGUCCGUCACUAGCUAGGUGAUAUAAACAGUCUGUCACUAGCUAGGUGAUAUAAACAACAGUCUGUCACUAGCUAGGGGAUAUAAACAGUCUGUCACUAGCUAGGUGAUAUAAACAGUCUGUCACUAGCUAGGUGAUAUAAACAACAGUCUGUCGCUAGCUAGGUGAUAUAAACAACAGUCUGUCGCUAGCUAGGUGAUAUAAACAGUCUGUCACUAGCUAGGUGAUAUAAACAGUCUGUCACUAGCUAGGUGAUAUAAACAACAGUCUGUCGCUAGCUAGGUGAUAUAAACAACAGUCUGUCGCUAGCUAGGUGAUGUAAACAACAGUCUGUCGCUAGCUAGGUGAUAUAAACAGUCUGUCACUAGCUAGGUGAUAUAAACAACAGUCUGUCGCUAGCUAGGUGAUAUAAACAACAGUCUGUCACUAGCUAGGGGAUAUAAACAGUCUGUCACUAGCUAGGUGAUAUAAACAGUCUGUCACUAGCUAGGUGAUAUAAACAGUCUGUCACUAGCUAGGUGAUAUAAACAGUCUGUCACUAGCUAGGUGAUAUAAACAGUCUGUCACUAGCUAGGUGAUAUAAACAACAGUCUGUCACUAGCUAGGUGAUAUAAAGGCUAGUCUACACCUGGACAUUAUUAUGGAUAACAGAGAGAUUUUUAUUAUUCAAGCAUUGAUCACCAUGUCACCAAAAUAAGACCCUGGAUAUUUAUUGGAAAAGAGCAUCAAGAUCCCAGUGCUCUUUCACCCACCUGUGAAGUUCAUAACUUAUUUCAUAUGUAGCCUAAUAAACUGCAUGGUUUCCUGAGUCCUAGUGGGGGGGGGGGAUCACACAUACACACACCCACACACCAUGUCUCGCGACUCCAACUUUACUUCCAUAUGAUGGUUAUUAUAUCAAUAUUUCCAUAGUAAGUCAUUUCCACCGCCUUUUCUUGCAUAAUACAUUUUACAGACACAAACCGAUCUCUCUCUCUCUCUCUCUCUCUCUCUCUCUCAGCCCUCUCUCAGAUCCUCUUCCUCUGUCUGUUCCUCUCCUCCUCCUCCUCUCUGUCCGUCUCUAGCUCGUAGUAAAUAUUUCUACCAGCACGUCAACCUCUCUGGGAUCCCAUCCCUCUUUUCUAUAAAGACUGAUUUAUAAACAUGUUAUUGUUUAUUAGAGGGAGGGUUAUAAGUGCUGUAAUCAGGGUCAUAAACGGGGUCUUCUUGUUUAUAAAUACAGGAGCUCUGUUAGGGGGAGGGGGUCUUGCUCCUGAAAUCAAACCGUCUCUCCUCUCUCCUGUCCCUCGUCUCUCCUGUCUCUCUCUCCUGUCUCUCUCCUCGUCUCUCCUGUCCCUCGUCUCUCCUGUCUCUCUCUCUCUCCUGUCUCUCUCUCCUUCUCUCCUGUCUCUCUCUUUCUCUCCUGUCUCUCUCUUUCUCUCCUGUCUCUCUCUCCUCGUCUCUCCUGUCUCUCUCUCCUGUCUCUCUCUUUCUCUCCUGUCUCUCUCUCCUCGUCUCUCCUGUCUCUCUCUUUCCUCGUCUCUCUCUCUCUUUCUCUCCCGUCUCUCUCCCCUGACAGUGCUAACCCACUGAGCUAAUAAACACAGACUGGACUACUGCUGCUUCUCUCUGUUUACUUGAAGGCUGAUGAUGUUCUGCGCGCGUUGGGGUUGAUGAUUGACCUCCGUCCUAGUCCCCCCUCCCCUUUCUCCCUGUUACGACUGAUUUAUGGGUUUUUGUUUUUAAUUUGUUACUUUAUACAUAUGUAAAUGAUUUCUAAUAAAGUCUCCAGCCCC